UACGUAGGUGGCAAGCGUUGUCCGGAUUUACUGGGCGUAAAGGGCGUGCAGGCGGUUCGUUAAGUCUAGGGUGAAAGCUCCCGGCUCAACUGGGAGAGGUCCUUGGAUACUGGCGGACUUGAGGAGGGUAGAGGAGAGUGGAAUUCCUGGUGUAGCGGUGAAAUGCGCAGAUAUCAGGAGGAACACCAAUGGCGAAGGCAGCUCGCUGGGACGUGACUGACGCUGAGACGCGAAAGCGUGGGGAGCAAACAGG
This 253-nucleotide ribosomal RNA is filed under the name uncultured bacterium. RNAcentral's name for it is "partial 16S ribosomal RNA". It matches the Rfam family "Bacterial small subunit ribosomal RNA", at positions 524 to 776 of the family's 1533-position model. The record is from RNAcentral.